CUCUACUAAUAUGGCAUACCCUGAAACUAAUUUAAUUGUAGUACUUCUAGCCCCCUUUUUAACAUGUUAUCUAAGCAAGAAAACUUUGCGUAAAAGAAACUAAACAGAAAGAAACAGAUAUGUUAUUAACUGGCUCGUACAAUUGCAACCAUGCGGGAUAAGAUAGAAGAAGGCAGGCCCAAUGCAAUGGAGGCCUGCAAAUCGACUUCAUGUAGUAUCUUGACCCAAGGCCCAAAGAAGGGUCUAAAUUUAGCAGUAAAUCCUGAAGAAGAAAAAAGACUCGAGUUCGAGUCCCCAGGUCAUGUAAGGAGAAUACCAAAUUAGAAAUGUGAUCCUAGCAAGGCCUUUGAUAACUAACUAUCCUUUGACAAUUGCGCUUCAGUUAAUUCUACAUGGGCAAUUAUGUCAAAUUUCCAGUACAAUUUGAGCCUAUUUUCAUGCGUAAUGUCAAAUAAAAUCUUAUGGGUCUAUCUAAUAGAUACAAGUCCUAACAUUAAAUGAAAACUAACAUGUUUUUGCAACAUAAAUAAAUCAAUGCACAGCCUGCCUUUUAAGGUAACUUGGAUCAUUUUCCCUUUCUUCUAGCACGACUUAUAUUGGUUACUACUUAAAAAGAAUUCAGUCCCUCAUUACAUGAAUGUGGAAAAAUUGAUCUACAAGGGAAUAUGCUGUAACAAUCAGAUACACUGCUUAGCAAGAGGAUACAUACACAAUCACACCAUUUAGCAUGAUCUAACUACAUAUGCAACCAAAUAAGCUAUGUACCAAUUUUUUUCAGAAUACUUUCAAAUAUUCAAUCUCGAACUACAGGAUACUUUCUAGAAGACUGAUCUCCCAUCAGAUAAUAUGCACUACAUCUUUCAGGUGAUAUUGACAUAAUCCAACAGAAUAUAAUGCAUCAUGCAAAAUCAGCAAAUAAAAAAUAAAUAAAACUAAGCUACUGAACAGAGCAAAUUGAAGUUGUGUUUGAACUCCCAAUUUUAUUUCAUACUUCAAACAAUCUUCACAUGAUAUAGGAUUCAAGAGCAAGUACCUGAUUAUAGCAAAAUAAACCAGAGAAACCAAAGUUGGAGUCAGUAAACAGCAACAGAAAAAUCAGCCUCCAAGAAUGACUAACAACAGGGAAAUCCACUUCUUCCCGCCAAGGAAAAACCCAGAUGAACAACAUACAAUAGCAAUCUGACUAGCUAAGAAUUUUUUAAAACAAAAUUGGACCAGCCUUGUCCAAAAAUGCAAGAAAUGCAUUAUUCUCUCGGAAUUCCUUAGGCUCAGCCAUUUUCCUUCAAAAUUUUCAUAGUGUUUUUUUCUUCUCUCUCAAUGAAUGGAAAGAAAACUUAUAUAGGCAUGCCAAGGGCGGCCCUAAUACAUCUAGCCAAUUCCCCAUUUACCCUUCCCUUUACAAAAAUAUCUGACACUUUCAACUCUUAUCAUAUUCUUUAGAACCUUCUAUCCUAAAAGAAUUUGAUUCCCCCCCCCCCUAUUGCGCGCACGCGCGCGCGCACACACAAGCACACACACACACGGUGACCUUACACUAACUGGUUAUUACAAUCUUUGCCCCUCCCCCCUAAGACCCCUCUAAGUUUCUAUACUUAGCAUUAACCCUCAUAUGGAUCCCUGAAGACUGACAAACAAAACCACUCAAACAAAAGGCUCUUAAUCAGGUCAAAACAAACUUUCAAAACUUAGAAACUUUGACAAUUUAAAAGUUGGAAAACAAACUUGCCAUGAACCAAUUAUAAUGUUAACUACAAAGAAUUAUUUAAACCAACUAAGAUAUGCUCAAGCAUCUUAACAGAAGAAAAAUCCGCAAAACCUAUUUCAAUUAAACUAAUAUGAUUUUAAAAAACUUUAAAAACCUAAUUUAACUGAAAUAAAUGUCUAAAGUCUCAAUAACCAGUGAUUUAAUAAUGCUAAAUUUCGAGGAUGGAAACAAUCAACAGAAGAGUAAGACAAAAAGGAACUAUAUUACACUAGGUCGAGUUUUGCAGAGCAGAAGUAAACUUAAACAUGGAAGAGGAAAAGAAAAGGAAUACAAAUCUCAGAACCAUAAAGGCACAAAGAUAUACCUGAGAACAGUCUUAAAGGGAAAAUCUCACUGAAUUGAAGCCAAUGGCCGGGAUCAUCUCGAAGUGACCGAAAAUUAAGAAUAACUAGUUGUUCUUUGACAAGAACAAUUAAUUAGCCUUUAUUUCUGGCUGAUUCAAAGCUUGAAAACCCCUCAAAAACUUAUUUUUGGUCAGUGACUUGGGGUCAAUAGCAAGGUUUUUAUUUUGAAUUGAACCAUGAAAUCGGAACGAAGGAAGGCCAAAGACAAUGGAUUGAGUUUUGAGUGAUUUGGGGAAGUUAGGAUUUGGAUCUGAUUUUUCGAUCCAAAAUUCGUACCAAACUAGGAGGAUUCGAGGGACAUGGGUUAGGGAUUUGGAAAGAGCAAUCCAUGGGGUUUUCGGGGUGUACUUUUGGUGGUGUUUGGAGGUGGCGCCGCAACCCUAAAGCGGUGGGAGAGUGGUGGCAACUACUAGGGUUUUUUCUUGCUUCAAGAGGGGGGUGGUUCUGAGAGAGAUGAUGAGAGAAGGGGGUGGGCUGGAUUCAGAUUUCUCGACCAUCCGAUCUAAGAAUAUCGAUGGCCCUAAUAAAAACUAACCUAAACGGGGUCAUUUGAGUUGAGUGUAG
Molecule: long non-coding RNA, 2673 nt
Filed under: Nicotiana benthamiana
Lineage: Eukaryota; Viridiplantae; Streptophyta; Magnoliopsida; Solanales; Solanaceae
Description: long non-coding RNA (NBEN_LNC007109)
Source: RNAcentral